Molecule: ribosomal RNA, 450 nt
Filed under: uncultured bacterium
Lineage: Bacteria
Description: partial 16S ribosomal RNA
Rfam family: Bacterial small subunit ribosomal RNA
Source: RNAcentral
CCUACGGGCGGUAGCAGUGAGGAAUAUUGGUCAAUGGGCGCGAGCCUGAACCAGCCAAGUCGCGUGAAGGAUGACGGUCCUAUGGAUUGUAAACUUCUUUUGUGCAGGAAUAAAGUGAGGAACGUGUUCCUUUUUGUAUGUACUGUACGAAUAAGCAUCGGCUAACUCCGUGCCAGCAGCCGCGGUAAUACGGAGGAUGCGAGCGUUAUCCGGAUGAAAGGGGUUUAAGGGGUGCGUAGGAGGCAGUGGUGAAAGUUUGCAGCUUAACUGUAAAAUUGCCAUUGAAACUGUUAGUCUUGAGUACAAAUGAGGUAGGCGGAAUGUGUUGUGUAGCGGUGAAAUGCUUAGAUAUAACACAGAACUCCGAUUGCGAAGGCAGCUUACUGGGAUGCAACUGACGCUGAUGCACGAAAGCGUGGGUAUCAAACAGGAUUAGAUACCCUUGUAGUC